This 506-nucleotide ribosomal RNA is filed under the name uncultured bacterium. Its description in RNAcentral is "partial 16S ribosomal RNA". It matches the Rfam family "Bacterial small subunit ribosomal RNA", at positions 29 to 523 of the family's 1533-position model. The record is from RNAcentral.
AGUGAACGCUGGCGGUAGGCCUAACACAUGCAAGUCGAACGGCAGCACAGAGGAGCUUGCUCCUUGGGUGGCGAGUGGCGGACGGGUGAGGAAUACAUCGGAAUCUACUCUGUCGUGAGGGAUAACGCAGGGAAACUUACGCUAAUACCGCAUACGACCUACGGGUGAAAGCAGGGGAUCUUCGGACCUUGCGCGAUUGAAUGAGCCGAUGUCGGAUUAGCGAGUUGGCGGGGUAAAGGCCCACCAAGGCGACGAUCCGUAGCUGGUCUGAGAGGAUGAUCAGCCACACUGGAACUGAGACACGGUCCAGACUCCUACGGGAGGCAGCAGUGGGGAAUAUUGGACAAUGGGCGCAAGCCUGAUCCAGCCAUACCGCGUGGGUGAAGAAGGCCUUCGGGUUGUAAAGCCCUUUUGUUGGGAAAGAAAUCCAUCUGGUUAAUACCCGGGUGGGAUGACGGUACCCAAAGAAUAAGCACCGGCUAACUUCGUGCCAGCCGCCGCGGUAA